GACGAACGCUGGCGGCGUGCCUAACACAUGCAAGUCGAGCGGAGCUAGUAGCAAUAUUAGCUUAGCGGCGGACGGGUGAGUAACGCGUGGGCAACCUGCCUUCUACAGGGGGAUAACACAGGGAAACUUGUGCUAAUACCGCAUAACAUACUUAAGGGACAUCCCUUGGGUAUCAAAGGAGCAAUCCGGUAGAAGAUGGGCCCGCGUCCGAUUAGCUAGUUGGAGGUGUAACGGACCACCAAGGCGACGAUCGGUAGCCGAACUGAGAGGUUGAUCGGCCACAUUGGGACUGAGACACGGCCCAGACUCCUACGGGAGGCAGCAGUGGGGAAUAUUGCGCAAUGGGGGAAACCCUGACGCAGCAACGCCGCGUGAAGGAUGAAGGUCUUCGGAUUGUAAACUUCUUUAGUCGGGGACGAAGAAAUGACGGUACCCGAAGAAUAAGCCACGGCUAACUACGUGCCAGCCGCCGCGGUAA
This 478-nucleotide ribosomal RNA is filed under the name uncultured bacterium. Its description in RNAcentral is "partial 16S ribosomal RNA". It matches the Rfam family "Bacterial small subunit ribosomal RNA", at positions 28 to 523 of the family's 1533-position model. The record is from RNAcentral.